GAUGAACGCUGGCGGCGUGCCUAAUACAUGCAAGUCGGACGCUGGAGAUCUAGCUUGCUAGAUCGAAGGAGUGGCGAACGGGUGAGUAAUACAUAAGCAACCUACCCACGAAGACUGGGAUAAUCUCUGGAAACGGGGACUAAUACCGGAUAGGUAAUCGGAAGGCAUCUUCUGGUUAUUAAAGGUUAAAAACACUGGUGGAUGGGCUUAUGGCGCAUUAGUUAGUUGGUGAGGUAACGGCCCACCAAGACGAUGAUGCGUAGCCGGCCUGAGAGGGUGAACGGCCACAUUGGGACUGAGACACGGCCCAGACUCCUACGGGAGGAAGCAGUAGGGAAUUUUCAGCAAUGGGGGCAACCCUGACCGAGCAACGCCGCGUGAGUGAAGACGGCCUUCGGGUUGUAAAGCUCUGUUGUAAGGGAAGAACGGUAGAUAGAGAAUAUCUAAGUGACGGUACCUUACCAGAAAGCCACGGCUAACUACGUG
Molecule: ribosomal RNA, 486 nt
Filed under: uncultured bacterium
Lineage: Bacteria
Description: partial 16S ribosomal RNA
Rfam family: Bacterial small subunit ribosomal RNA
Source: RNAcentral